GACGAACGCUGGCGGCGUGCUUAACACAUGCAAGUCGAACGGUGAAGCGCCUUCCGUUUUGGUGGGUGUGGAUGAGUGGCGAACGGGUGAGUAACACGUGAGUAACCUGCCCCCUUCUUCUGGAUAACCGCAUGAAAGUGUGGCUAAUACGGGAUAUUCUGGGUCUGUCGCAUGAUGGGUCUGGGAAAGAUAUUGUUUCGGUGGGGGAUGGGCUCGCGGCCUAUCAGCUUGUUGGUGGGGUGAUGGCCUACCAAGGCGGUGACGGGUAGCCGGCCUGAGAGGGUGGACGGUCACACUGGGACUGAGACACGGCCCAGACUCCUACGGGAGGCAGCAGUGGGGAAUAGUGCACAAUGGGCGCAAGCCUGAUGCAGCGACGCCGCGUGAGGGAUGGAGGCCUGCGGGUUGUGAACCUCUUUCGCCAGUGAAGCAGGCCUGCCUCGUUUGUGGGUGGGUUGACGGUAGCUGGAUAAGAAGCGCCGGCUAACUACGUG
Molecule: ribosomal RNA, 494 nt
Filed under: uncultured bacterium
Lineage: Bacteria
Description: partial 16S ribosomal RNA
Rfam family: Bacterial small subunit ribosomal RNA
Source: RNAcentral